Molecule: transfer RNA, 63 nt
Filed under: Rattus norvegicus (Norway rat)
Lineage: Eukaryota; Metazoa; Chordata; Mammalia; Rodentia; Muridae
Rfam family: tRNA
About the family: Transfer RNA (tRNA) molecules are approximately 80 nucleotides in length. Their secondary structure includes four short double-helical elements and three loops (D, anti-codon, and T loops).
Source: Rfam by way of RNAcentral
GGGGAUUUAGCUCAGUGGGAGAGCGCUUGCCUAGCAAGCACAAGACCCUGGGUUCAGUCCCCA